UACGUAGGGGGCUAGCGUUGUCCGGAAUCAUUGGGCGUAAAGCGCGUGUAGGCGGUCCGGUAAGUCCGCUGUGAAAGUCGGGGGCUCAACCCUCGGAUGCCGGUGGAUACUGUCGGGCUUGAGUACGGAAGAGGCGAGUGGAAUUCCUGGUGUAGCGGUGAAAUGCGCAGAUAUCAGGAGGAACACCAGUGGCGAAGGCGGCUCACUGGUCCGGUACUGACGCUGAGGUGCGAAAGCGUGGGGAGCAAACAGG
RNAcentral lists this ribosomal RNA (253 nucleotides) under uncultured bacterium. RNAcentral's name for it is "partial 16S ribosomal RNA". It matches the Rfam family "Bacterial small subunit ribosomal RNA", at positions 524 to 776 of the family's 1533-position model. The record is from RNAcentral.